Molecule: transfer RNA, 71 nt
Filed under: Marmota monax (woodchuck)
Lineage: Eukaryota; Metazoa; Chordata; Mammalia; Rodentia; Sciuridae
Description: tRNA.Ala
Source: RNAcentral
GAGGUUGUGGCUCAGUGGUAGAGUGGUCACCUUGCAUGUGCGAAGCACUGGCUUCGAUCCUCAGCACCACA